CCUACGGGUGGCAGCAGUGAGGAAUAUUGCUCAAUGGCCGGAAGGCUGAACCAGCCAUGCCGCGUGAAUGUCAGUGCCCUAUGGGCGUUAAACUUCUUUUGUGCGGGAGCAAUAAUGGUCACGUGUGGCCAGACGAGAGUACCGUACGAAUAAGCAUCGGCUAACUCCGUGCCAGCAGCCGCGGUAAUACGGGUGGUGGAAGCGGUAUCCGGAUUUAAUGGGGUGAAAGGGUGAGUAAGCUGUGAGGUAGUUCAGCGUGGAAAUGCCCCCGCUCAACGGGGUGAAGUGCCAUUGAUACUGGCUUGCUUGAAGGCGGAUGCGGUGGGAGGAAUGUGUGGUGUAGCGGUGAAAUGCAUAGAGAUCACACAGAACACCGAUUGCGAAGGCAUCUCACGAAUCCGCGAUUGACGCUGAUGCACGAAAGCGUGGGUAUCAAACAGGAUUAGAUACCCCAGUAGUC
Molecule: ribosomal RNA, 460 nt
Filed under: uncultured bacterium
Lineage: Bacteria
Description: partial 16S ribosomal RNA
Rfam family: Bacterial small subunit ribosomal RNA
Source: RNAcentral